Molecule: long non-coding RNA, 1026 nt
Organism: Talpa occidentalis (Iberian mole)
Lineage: Eukaryota; Metazoa; Chordata; Mammalia; Eulipotyphla; Talpidae
Exons: 7
Source: RefSeq, a predicted model, not a curated record
CAGCUAUAUCCUCCAGGCCGCAGGAGACAGAGAUGGCUGCAGACAUUUUUACAAGGGUUGGGCACUGGAAAACAGAGAGCAGUAGUUAGGUUCUGAGGAGGGAAUGAAUACGCGCACCAAAGAUUUGUCCACCAACUAACUGAGCUGCGACACUGUCAGAACAUAUGAUACCACUGCUCAGGCAGGAAAAUCAUUGGAUCAAUGGAUCAUCGCAAUUCUGGAUAAGAAGAUAAAAUUCUCCUCUCCUAGAUGAUUCCAGUUGUGGAUCACAAGCAAUCUAGCACAAUAAAAACAGGCGUGUCCAGCCGCUGUCCGACAUGGAUCACCACCAGUGCACAUGAGCCAGUCCUCUAUCAGAGCAACCCAACAGGAAAUCGAGUCACUUCAAUAUCUGCUGCUGGGCAAUUUCAAAUUUUAAUUAACUGAAGAGAGUUUAUUAAAACAAAGAUAACCUGGCAUUGAAGGAUGGUGUAGACCAAGAAUUGCACCACUUCAAAUAUAUAGAAAAGAUCACACAGACCUGCUUCAAGCUUGUCAUCCCAAAGGACCUCUAUGGAAGGUUAUAAUAGAGGAGUGAGAGAUGGAGGGGACUGAAUCAGCUGGAAUCAGUAAUGACGACAGCUUUCACAUCUGACAUUAUUAUGUGACACGCACUCCCAGGUCCAAGGAUAAGAAGAAAGAGCCUUUCAAAACAAUUAACUCCGUCAGGCUGUCCUGCUCUUAUUCCUCUUCUAAGAAGAUGCUGACAUGAGUCUCUAGCAGCCUGAGGCACAGUGGGACCUAAUUAACUUCUUCAGAGAUCCUCAAGUCUUCUUGGAUUACCAGACAAGUUUGUUAAAAGGGCCUCGAACCUUGAUCUCAUGGAGCGGUGGCUGCAAGCCUUCAUUAUUUUCCUUCUGCUCAUGACUCAUGUAGAGACAAGCUUUUGUUUGAAUCUUCUGGAGAGUAACAUAUUGUCCACUUUUUGAAUUUUUAACCAAGGUGGACAGAAGACAAAAGUUCAGAGUAAUAAAUAACUCUUGUUUU